GAUCAGUGAUGAAAUUAGCCAAAUCUGAGUGUUUGUAGUCAUGACUACAAAACCCAUGAUUAUGCUAGAGA
This is a small nucleolar RNA of Chanos chanos (milkfish), 71 nucleotides long. RefSeq annotates it as small nucleolar RNA U2-19. The record is from RefSeq and is a predicted model, not a curated record. The transcript has a single exon. Lineage: Eukaryota; Metazoa; Chordata; Actinopteri; Gonorynchiformes; Chanidae.